Odocoileus virginianus texanus is the source of this 551-nucleotide long non-coding RNA. RefSeq lists it as uncharacterized. The record is from RefSeq and is a predicted model, not a curated record. Lineage: Eukaryota; Metazoa; Chordata; Mammalia; Artiodactyla; Cervidae.
CCUGACACCGCCACCCCAGUAGAGCUGAGAAUCUCGAGUCUCCUGACCUCUCUUCGUUUUCCCAUCACAGUGAACUUCAGGUGAAGGGCGAGGUAUUCGUGCCUACAAAGAUCUACUAACGACCUUCUUGAUGUUUAAACGCAGACUGUCUGGUCCACGUGUCUUAACCUGCGCCCUGAACCCAAAUACGGACAACGAGAAGGUGGUGGCGAGGAUUUGGUGGCACAUGGGAGAUGGCUUGCUUCACUCUAUAUGCCAAAUAGUUCUGCAUCCCUGUCAUAGUUCCGCCAGGACAGACCUUUGCAGGCAGUGGUGAUCCAGGGAAGCAAAGAUGGAUGCCCAGUCACCUAGAGAAGCUUGGAGAAAGCAGCAUUCAGAGAACAACUAUCUGGUGGCCAAGGUUGAAGUUCCAUACUGGUCCAUGUGGCAGCAGAAGAGUCUUGGAUAAACCACAAGAAAAAGACAGAAAAAGUUCUCAAAUAAUUGCAAGCACUUGCAUUACUCAGGGCACUUGGGUUGCAAACAACAGAAAUAAAUUCUGGAUAACUGAA